Non-coding RNA from Pseudomonas syringae pv. pisi str. 1704B, 68 nucleotides. The record is from Rfam. NCBI's taxonomy places the organism in Bacteria, Pseudomonadati, Pseudomonadota, Gammaproteobacteria, Pseudomonadales, Pseudomonadaceae.
GUAGCUCAGUUGGUUAGAGCACCACCUUGACAUGGUGGGGGUCGUUGGUUCGAGUCCAAUCGCGCCUA